GAUGAACGCUGGCGGCGUGCCUAAUACAUGCAAGUCGAGCGAACAGACGAGGAGCUUGCUCCUCUGAUGUUAGCGGCGGACGGGUGAGUAACACGUGGAUAACCUACCUAUAAGACUGGGAUAACUUCGGGAAACCGGAGCUAAUACCGGAUAACAUGUUGAACCGCAUGGUUCAACAGUGAAAGACGGUCUUGCUGUCACUUAUAGAUGGAUCCGCGCCGCAUUAGCUAGUUGGUAAGGUAACGGCUUACCAAGGCAACGAUGCGUAGCCGACCUGAGAGGGUGAUCGGCCACACUGGAACUGAGACACGGUCCAGACUCCUACGGGAGGCAGCAGUAGGGAAUCUUCCGCAAUGGGCGAAAGCCUGACGGAGCAAAGCCGCGUGAGUGAAGAAGGUCUUCGGAUCGUAAAACUCUGUUAUUAGGGAAGAACAAAUGUGUAAGUAACUAUGCACGUCUUGACGGUACCUAAUCAGAAAGCCACGGCUAACUACGUG
This 497-nucleotide ribosomal RNA is filed under the name uncultured bacterium. RNAcentral describes it as "partial 16S ribosomal RNA". It matches the Rfam family "Bacterial small subunit ribosomal RNA", at positions 28 to 507 of the family's 1533-position model. The record is from RNAcentral.